Molecule: ribosomal RNA, 252 nt
Filed under: uncultured prokaryote
Description: partial 16S ribosomal RNA
Rfam family: Bacterial small subunit ribosomal RNA
Source: RNAcentral
UACAGAGGGUGCGAGCGUUAAUCGGAAUAACUGGGCGUAAAGGGCGCGUAGGUGGUGAUUUAAGAUGCAUGUGAAUCCCUGGGCUUAACCUAGGAAUGGCAUGGAUGACUGAAUCGCUAGAGUAUUGUAGAGGGUAGUGGAAUUUCCGGUGUAGCGGUGAAAUGCGUAGAGAUCGGAAGGGACAUCAGUGGCGAAGGCGGCUACCUGGACAAAUACUGACACUGAGGCGCGAAAGCGUGGGGAGCAAACAGG